RNAcentral lists this ribosomal RNA (253 nucleotides) under uncultured bacterium. RNAcentral's name for it is "partial 16S ribosomal RNA". It matches the Rfam family "Bacterial small subunit ribosomal RNA", at positions 524 to 776 of the family's 1533-position model. The record is from RNAcentral.
UACAGAGGAUGCAAGCGUUAUCCGGAAUCACUGGGCUUAAAGCGUCUGUAGGUGGCUUUUUAAGUCCGCCGUCAAAUCCCAGGGCUCAACUCUGGACAGGCGGUGGAAACUACCAAGCUGGAGUACGGUAGGGGCAGAGGGAAUUUCCGGUGGAGCGGUGAAAUGCGUAGAGAUCGGAGAGAACACCAACGGCGAAAGCACUCUGCUGGGCCGACACUGACACUGAGAGACGAAAGCUAGGGGAGCGAAUGGG